Molecule: long non-coding RNA, 1350 nt
Filed under: Homo sapiens (human)
Lineage: Eukaryota; Metazoa; Chordata; Mammalia; Primates; Hominidae
Description: HSALNT0184433
Source: RNAcentral
CUUAUUUUAGAGUAAAACAAGGUUCAGACAACACAGUGCAGGCAUGUGGAGGGAGAGGAAAAGAGAUCACACCUUACUGGUGCAAGAAGGGGCAGUGUGCAAGUCAGCUCUGGGUGGGUAGCUGCCUUUUCAAUAGAUGGAGAAGGGAGGGAAGGGCUUCGCAGGCUGGAAGCACAGCACUGAGGGUGUGGCGAGCUCCAGCAAGGGUGAGCAGCCACGGGGGCGGCCGUGGUGCUGGCAGAUGAACCAUGCCAAUAUGGAGGGAGCGAGGGACAGAUUUUAAUAAGCCACGGUGAGGACGGUGGAUUCUGCUCGCAGGCAAAGGAUAGUGACUGAAGCUUCUGGAACAGUGACAUGUACCUGACAUCUAGUUUUGACAAGAGAGUGCUGGCCCUGAUGGCCAGCCAGGGUUUGCCCCGUGGCUCGAGGUUACCGGUACUUUGUGUACUUUUCCCCCAAGGCUGUAGGAGAAAUAAGAACUCUAGCCAGAUUUGCUGGGCUCUUCUCUCUGUAGCCUAGUGCUCUGGGGACCUAUCUGGCUUAGAGGCGGGUUUGUCUUUGGAGUGCUUUCUUGAGAAAGGAGUGCUCUCUGCAAACCCUCUCUCCCUUCCCUCUCUUCACCCUGGAGAUUGUCUUUACAUUCAGCUUGAGACUGCGCUGAAAGAUCCUUGGUACCUCUGUGGUCUCUUGAGUGGACUGCCCGACCCAGUGGGCAAGGAGCCCCCACGUCUGGCAGACCAAGCCAGCCCAUUCCUCACAUGUCAUGGAUUUUCCUGGAGGGAAACAGCGGAUGCCACAUGGUCAUGGCUUGAAAGGAUUCCAUGCUGUCUGCACAAAUAGAGACUGGAGCCUCUGGGAACAGCCUUGCUCUCACCUCACUCCCAGAAAGCCUCCCUGCCCUGGCCCGUGCAAACAGGCAGUGAAUUGUUGCUCUCACUUCUACACACUGAUACAGCCCUGAGUGACACGGACAAGAGGAUUCUUGGGAGGGGCCUGACUGAACUGCAGCCACCUAGGCAUUACCAGUGUGGUUGAGAAGACGAAAUGAAGACUGGAGAAGCAAUGGGACACACAGGCAAUGGGGCUAGGCAUUGGUUGUCCCCAUUCAUUCAUGCAGCAAAUGGCCAUUGCGUCCCCUUCCUGUGCUAAACCUGUGCAGAUUGUUGUCCAAAGAAAGUCCUAUGCCAGACCCAAAGCCCAGGGCAGGGCAGUACACGCUGCCCACCAGCAGGCCAUGGCAAAGGUGUUUAUGCACAUCACUGUGGGAGACUGAAGAACGGGUACCAGGGAUCAAUCGGCCACCAUGUAAAGUCUGAGAGAAAGAUGCCCCAGCUAUUCUUAAGACUUUCA